UUGACGGGGACCCGCACAAGCGGUGGAUGAUGUGGAUUAAUUCGAUGCAACGCGAAAACCUUACCUACCCUUGACAUGUCCGGAAUCCCGAAGAGAUUUGGGAGUGCUCGCAAGAGAACCGGAACACAGGUGCUGCAUGGCUGUCGUCAGCUCGUGUCGUGAGAUGUUGGGUUAAGUCCCGCAACAAGCGCAACCCUUGUCAUUAGUUGCCAUCAUUUGGUUGGGCACUCUAAUGAGACUGCCGGUGACAAACCGGAGGAAGGUGGGGAUGACGUCAAGUCCUCAUGGCCCUUAUGGGUAGGGCUUCACACGUCAUACAAUGGUCGGUACAGAGGGUUGCCAACCCGCGAGGGGGAGCUAAUCCCACAAAGCCGAUCGUAGUCCGGAUCGCAGUCUGCAACUCGACUGCGUGAAGUCGGAAUCGCUAGUAAUCGUGGAUCAGCAUGUCACGGUGAAUACGUUCCCGGGUCUU
This 472-nucleotide ribosomal RNA is filed under the name uncultured Rhodocyclaceae bacterium. Its description in RNAcentral is "bacterial SSU rRNA". It matches the Rfam family "Bacterial small subunit ribosomal RNA", at positions 910 to 1382 of the family's 1533-position model. Lineage: Bacteria; Pseudomonadati; Pseudomonadota; Betaproteobacteria; Rhodocyclales; Rhodocyclaceae. The record is from RNAcentral.